This 253-nucleotide ribosomal RNA is filed under the name uncultured bacterium. RNAcentral describes it as "partial 16S ribosomal RNA". It matches the Rfam family "Bacterial small subunit ribosomal RNA", at positions 524 to 776 of the family's 1533-position model. The record is from RNAcentral.
UACGUAGGUGGCAAGCGUUGUCCGGAUUUACUGGGCGUAAAGGGCGUGCAGGCGGUCUGUUAAGUGCAGGGUGAAAGCUCCCGGCUCAACUGGGAGAGGUCCUUGCAUACUGGCGGACUUGAGGGGGGUAGAGGAAAGUGGAAUUCCCGGUGUAGUGGUGAUAUGCGUAGAUAUCGGGAGGACCACCUGUGGCGAAGGCGGCUUUCUGGGCCCUACCUGACGCUGAGACGCGAAAGCGUGGGGAGCGAACCGG